GGUAGAGCGCUCCACUUGUAAUGGAGAGGUCCCGGGUCCGAUACCCGGACCAGGCG
This 56-nucleotide transfer RNA is filed under the name Ixodes scapularis (black-legged tick). It matches the Rfam family "tRNA", at positions 17 to 71 of the family's 71-position model. From Rfam's summary of the family: Transfer RNA (tRNA) molecules are approximately 80 nucleotides in length. Their secondary structure includes four short double-helical elements and three loops (D, anti-codon, and T loops). The record is from Rfam by way of RNAcentral. Lineage: Eukaryota; Metazoa; Arthropoda; Arachnida; Ixodida; Ixodidae.